Brachypodium distachyon (stiff brome) is the source of this 136-nucleotide non-coding RNA. The record is from Rfam. NCBI's taxonomy places the organism in Eukaryota, Viridiplantae, Streptophyta, Magnoliopsida, Poales, Poaceae.
UAAAUACUUCCUCCGUCCAACAAAAGAUGUUUAAACUUUGACUAAAUUUGAAUCCAUCUAUACACUAAGUGAUGUCUAGUUACAUCCAAAUUUUGACAAACUUGAGACAUGUUUUGUUCGACGGAGGGAGUAAAAG